GCGUCGGUAGUUCAGUGGUAGAAUGCUCGUCAACCGUGCAAAUGGUGCAGGGUUCGAUUCCCUGCUGACACA
RNAcentral lists this transfer RNA (72 nucleotides) under Trichobilharzia regenti. It matches the Rfam family "tRNA". From Rfam's summary of the family: Transfer RNA (tRNA) molecules are approximately 80 nucleotides in length. Their secondary structure includes four short double-helical elements and three loops (D, anti-codon, and T loops). Lineage: Eukaryota; Metazoa; Platyhelminthes; Trematoda; Strigeidida; Schistosomatidae. The record is from Rfam by way of RNAcentral.